GAUGAACGCUGGCGGCGUGCUUAACACAUGCAAGUCGAACGAAGCACCCUAUUUUAUUUCCUUCGGGCCUGAUUCUUUUGUGACUGAGUGGCGUACGGGUCAGUAACGCGUGGUUAACCUGCCUUGUACAGGGGGAUAACAGUUCGAAACGGCUGCUCAUACCGCAUAAGCGCACAGCAUCACUUGCUUCAGUGUGAAAAAUUCCGGUGGGAUAAGAUGGACCCGCGUUGGAUUAGCUUGUGGGUGAGGUAACGGCCCACCAAUGCGACGAUCCAUAGCCGACCUGAUAGGGUGACCGGCCACAGUGGGACUGAGACACGGCCCAAACUCCUACGGGAGGCAGCAGUGGGGAAUAUUGCACAAUGGGCGAAAGCCUGAUGCAGCGACGCCGCGUGAGCGAAGAAGUAUGGCGGUAUGUAAAGCUCUAUCAGCAGGGAAGAUAAUGACGUUACCUGACGAAGAAGCACCGGCUAAAUACGUG
RNAcentral lists this ribosomal RNA (481 nucleotides) under uncultured bacterium. RNAcentral describes it as "partial 16S ribosomal RNA". It matches the Rfam family "Bacterial small subunit ribosomal RNA", at positions 28 to 507 of the family's 1533-position model. The record is from RNAcentral.